CAUGGGGUGCAAACGUUGCUCGGAAUUAUUGGGCGUAAAGCGCGCGUAGGCGGUUACUUAAGUCGGAUGUGAAAGCCCUCGGCUUAACUGAGGAAGUGCACCCGAAACUGAGUAGCUAGAGUACGAAAGAGGGUCGCGGAAUUCCCGGUGUAGAGGUGAAAUUCGUAGAUAUCGGGAGGAACACCGGUGGCGAAGGCGGCGACCUGGGUCGAGACUGACGCUGAGGCGCGAAAGCGUGGGGAGCAAACAGGAUUAGAUACCCUGGUAGUCCACGCCGUAAACGAUGGGUGCUAGAUGUUUCUGGUAUUGACCCCGGAGGCGUCGUAGCUAACGCGUUAAGCACCCCGCCUGGGGAGUACGGCCGCAAGGCUA
This 372-nucleotide ribosomal RNA is filed under the name uncultured organism. Its description in RNAcentral is "bacterial SSU rRNA". It matches the Rfam family "Bacterial small subunit ribosomal RNA", at positions 526 to 896 of the family's 1533-position model. The record is from RNAcentral.